CCCUUAGAUGUUCUGGGCCGCACGCGCGCUACACUGAUGAAAUCAGCGAGUUUAUAACCUUGGCCGGAAGGUCCGGGUAAACUUUUGAAAUUUCAUCGUGCUGGGGAUAGAGCAUUGUAAUUAUUGCUCUUCAACGAGGAAUUCCUAGUAAGCGCAAGUCAUCAGCUUGCGUUGAUUACGUCCCUGCCCUUUGUACACACCGCCCGUCGCUACUACCGAUUGAAUGGUUAUAGUGAGCAUAUGGGAUCAGUAGAAUUAGACUGGCAACAGUCUUUCUCUGCAGAGAACUAUGGCAAACUAGGCUAUUUAGAGGAAGUAAAANUCGUAACA
This 330-nucleotide ribosomal RNA is filed under the name uncultured eukaryote. RNAcentral's name for it is "partial 18S ribosomal RNA". It matches the Rfam family "Eukaryotic small subunit ribosomal RNA", at positions 1470 to 1796 of the family's 1831-position model. The record is from RNAcentral.